GGAUGUGAGGGAGAUCUGGCUGCGACAUCCGUUACCCCAUUGAUCACCAGGAUUGAUUCGGUUGAUCUGGCUGGCUGGGCGGGUGUCCCCUUCCUCCCUCAGUGCUCCAUGUGCGCCCCUCCCGAAGCUGUGCGCUCAGUCAAAGAGGACAACCACCCCCGACAGAGGAGGACCAUUCCUCUGUCAAGAGUAUACAAGUAGCUGCGCUCCCCUGCUAGAACCGCCAAACAAGCGCUCACCUUCAAGAUGAGUGAAGGUGUGAGGGAAUACCCUCCUGCUACACAUCAGAACGGCCAUUC
RNAcentral lists this small nuclear RNA (299 nucleotides) under Chinchilla lanigera (long-tailed chinchilla). RNAcentral's name for it is "7SK RNA (ENSCLAG00000021944.1)". It matches the Rfam family "7SK RNA". From Rfam's summary of the family: 7SK was discovered as an abundant small nuclear RNA in the mid-70s but a possible function has only recently been suggested. Two independent studies have found that 7SK RNA binds the CDK9/cyclin T complex (known as elongation factor P-TEFb). P-TEFb activates transcription by phosphorylating the C-terminal domain of RNA polymerase II. The record is from Rfam by way of RNAcentral. Lineage: Eukaryota; Metazoa; Chordata; Mammalia; Rodentia; Chinchillidae.